AGCUAGUUCAGUUCGGACUCUGCCAUGCAGAGAAUCCCAAUCCACAGCUGCACCAGCUGUUUCACAGGACACACUGGUUGUGCCCCUCUGAGUCGUUCCCACUCCGAGGGGACUGAAACCCAAACCCUAUUUGUAUGGAGAAGAAAAUCCCGUCGGAGACCAUGGUGCCCGUGCGGAGGAGCAUGGCGAAGCCAGCGGCAAGUGAAGCUCCCCGGAGUGAGGCUGCUCACCGAGGAACUCCCCGCAAGGAGAGCUCGGGCGCUAGCAGAGACUGCUGUGCGCCUCCUCAAUUAAGCAGCCAAGACGUGCUGAAUAAUAAAUGAGCGCAGAAAGGCCUGGGCGGCGGCUGGGACCGCGUCCCCUGGUAAUGCUGUGAGGGCAGCGCCGGCAGAGCGCUCCAGCCCCGGGCUCUGCCAGAGCAGCUCCUGUCAAUAGAGCCCGGCUCUCACCAUAGCCGGUGCCUUCUACCCUUGCAGCGCUGGUGGGGAGGACCAAGCCUCAGGACUCAAGCAUCCCACUGUCCCCCUCCUUCACCGCUCUGCUCACAGCUGCCAGUUCAUGUCGUCUUUUCAUCUCCAAUACAUAGAUUGCUGUCCGCCCUAAAUGAGUUAUGGGGGGCUUUAUGUAUACAUCUGAGAAUAAAGUGCAUGCUAAUUAAAAGACAUGACAUCAAACAAGACCAUCAAGUGUCUGUUACAUUAAAUGAGGUGGAUGAGUCCCC
Pezoporus occidentalis (night parrot) is the source of this 721-nucleotide long non-coding RNA. RefSeq lists it as uncharacterized. The transcript is spliced from 2 exons. Lineage: Eukaryota; Metazoa; Chordata; Aves; Psittaciformes; Psittacidae. The record is from RefSeq and is a predicted model, not a curated record.